This 247-nucleotide ribosomal RNA is filed under the name uncultured Bacillota bacterium. RNAcentral describes it as "uncultured Firmicutes bacterium partial 16S ribosomal RNA". It matches the Rfam family "Bacterial small subunit ribosomal RNA", at positions 796 to 1041 of the family's 1533-position model. The record is from RNAcentral. Lineage: Bacteria; Bacillati; Bacillota.
CACGCCGUAAACGAUGGGUACUAGGUGUAGGAGGUAUCGACCCCUUCUGUGCCGUAGCAAACGCAUUAAGUACCCCGCCUGGGGAGUACGGCCGCAAGGCUGAAACUCAAAGGAAUUGACGGGGGCCCGCACAAGCGGUGGAGCAUGUGGUUUAAUUCGACGCAACGCGAAGAACCUUACCAGGUCUUGACAUCCCUUGACCGCCCUAGAGAUAGGGUUUUCCCGUUUGGGACAAGGAGACAGGUGG